UUUUUUUUCAGUAACAGGACCUUUGUGGAUGGAGCUGACAUAUUGUAAUUGUAAUGGGCUUGGGCUUGAGUAAACGCAACAAAUGUUGGUAAUUCAACACAAAAUUAUGGCCUGGUACUAUUUCUCACAUGGUUUUACAAUAUAGGUUCAUAUGGGUGAAUCCAUUGCCCGUUUUUUCGUAUUAGCCCAGCUUCAUGCUUAGUUAGUUGGGUACUAAAAUAAUGUGGGUUUAGUGAAGGAAAAAUUGAAAUGAUAUUGUACCCAUUCGCUUGACAGUUGUUGAGAUGUGUUGUGAUGUAGUUAUUACGACUCAAUUUACAGUUGUUGAGAUGUGAUGUGAUGUGUUUAUUUAAUAGUAUGUUGUCGGAAAUAGCUACAAAACUAGAAAUAAGUUGGCGAAAAAACGUAAAAUGUACAAAAACUAAAAUGGUUAGAUAAAUUGGAUUAUCAUAAUCUUACGUGAUGUCAACGGCAGACUAAUAAAGAAUGAGAGAUUUGCAUGCUUCUCCAAGGCGUUGUCCGUCAGUCGGUCGGUCGACCAAUUAACGUUAUUGGUUUGUUAGAGUAUUUGACAAAAAGCUACCACAUUAGGAGUUUCCGUCCCACUGAACUACCACAUUCAAAAAGUGAUUGAUAACUACCAAAAUUUUCUAAUUUUAUGACUAAAAACUACCACUUCUGAAAAAUGGCCCGUUUAGACGAUUUAAACGUGAUUAUGACAAAUGGGACCCACCCAUCAGGGCUGAUGUGGCGGCCCAGUCAACUCCGUUUGUUUUGAUCGUCAAGUUGACCGUUAUGACAGGUGGGGCCCACAUGUCAUCAUCAACCUUCCUCCUCCUGUGCCUCUCUUGGGCAUUUCAACAAGCACCUUCUGUGCAUUUAAGGGAAGGAGGCGAUGGCAAGGGGAAGAGUGACCUCCAGCACGACGCUCACCACGACCAACUGCACGGCCGCCUCCUUCCAGCUCCCCGUUGCGGUCACGACCGCCACGCGCGCUGGAGAUGAGCGGCCGCGCCGCCACCGCCGCCGUCGGCUUCCUCUGCGGCGAUGAUGACCAGGAAGACCAGGCGGAAGACGAGCGUGGCGAGGAAGACGAACAGCACGAUGCCAUGCACGAACGACUCCACGCCGCCGGUGUCAGAGUGACUCCAGCUGUACUUGUACCAGGAGUUGAGAUAAUACGCCGGGACGGCCGUGGACGCGGGCUCCGCGGCGGCGACCAGCGUGGCGCCGGCAAAGAGGGCCCGGGGCCGGGGCGUGCCGCGGACGAGCUCCGAGAGUGAGCGCGGCCGGUCGCCGCGGAGUGUGGCGCAGGCGGCCUGCGUCGCGAGCUUGCUAGCGAGUACGUUAGGUGGAGGACGAGUAGCGCCGCUGGGUGCAGCCACGCCCGCAUACACCUCGACGACACUGCUCCAGAGCACCACCCGCACCACCAAGUCGGCCGGUGACGUGGACCUGGCGCUCGUGCUCAGCUCCACCGACGCGGGAUGUACCUGGCUUCCUCACAUGCUCCUCCAAAUCGACACAAGAGCAGCUGGAUGAGCUUGCUCGCGUACGUAGUCGGGCUGGAGCUCACCUGCUCUCCUCCCAUGCACAUAAGAUGCUUGUUGAAAUGCCAAAGAGAGAGAGGAGGAAGAAGAAGGUUGAUGUGGGCCCUACCUGUCAUAACGGUUAACCUGACGGUCAAAACAAACGUAGUUGACUUCGCCGCCAUGUCAGCCUUGACGGGUGGGUCCCGCCUGUCAUAAACACAUUUAAAUCGUCUAAACUGGUCAUUAUUUAAAAGUGGUAGUUUUUAGUCACAAAAUUAGAAAAUUUUGAUAGUUAUCGGUCACUUUUUUGAAUGUGGUAGUUCAGUGGGACGGGAACCCCUAAUGUGGUAGUUUUUUGUCAAAUACUUGGUUUGUUAUGAACUUGAUUAUCUUUUAUUUUUUGGUAAAACAAUUGACUACAACAUAAAAAUUAAAUUUGAACCUAAAUAUAAGUUCACAUAUAUAUAAUUUAAUUUUGAUUUUUAUUGGUAUUGCUACACUUUCUAUAAAAAAAUAUCGUUAUAAAAGUGUUGUUUUCCUCGAAAGACACGUUAUAAGGGAUACAUAUUGCAAUCUCUUGGUAAAUAACUUAGUUUAUGAGUUUGGUUAGUACAAAAGGAUGCUUAAGUCUAAGAGAAUAUAUUUAACAUGAAAAAUAUAAUGUGUUACUUCUUUUCCAAAGCUAAACCACGUAACUAAAACUUGGCCAUCAUCUUCAUAUGCAUUACACCGUGCAUUCGAAAUUCACGCCGGCGAAACAAGUAACAUCAAUUUUCGUUGUGCUAACCCUAACUAGACAAGCUAGCUCAUCGAAGAGAAGAAAAACUACACGUGGCAUGUGUGUGGCAUGUCGGGCAUGUCACCGUGCAAGGCUUCCUAGUAGAUAUUUAUUGAGCUAAAACAUAGGAGUCUACUGUCUACACUCUGGGGAAAGACAUAAUGGUGCGCUUAAGUUUCUUACUAUCGAUCAUAAUCCAGUAUGUCUUCCGUUUUCUAAUUUGAACUACAUGUGUGCACUGAGUACGUUUGGCUUUGCUCGUUUGGGUUUAGCUAAACACAAGCAGGCAUCUCUAGCUCCAAAGCACACCACGCUUGUUGCCGUCGAGAGCGAGUCAUUUUGGCUGCCGGACUUGGGUGCAGCUAUCGGCUAAAUUGCCACCAAAUACUGGAGAACAUUUCCUGUACCAAAGACCAAUCCUUGCUCAGCUAAGUUAGGAACUCAGGUUAGCUUCUGCUAUAGAUCCAAACACACAAGGGGCACCUUGAUAACAUUUUUCGAAAAAUACAUGUGGCCUGUGAGCAGACUUGGUCACAGCAAACAAGGGGGUGACAAAACCAAGGUCCCGGAAAGGGCGGCAUAUCCCCGGUGUAUAUCCUUAUAGCUGCAUGCCCUAUAAAUAUCAUCCAGAUCAUGAGAUGCAUAGAGCAGCAGCGCAUACAGCAUUCUUGCAGUUUCACCUGCCUAUAGUACGGUACGCACUGCUUCGCAUCCCCCUCUUGCAGUCUAGCUUGUUCUCGUGCAACGUAUUUCGAUUCGGUCUCCAUCUAACCGUUGGUCACUGAACACAUUGUGCUGCAGAUUGAUCUUGGGAUAGGUUUGAAGGAAGCAACAAAGAAGAAGAAGCAGAAGAUGAGCACCACCAAGACGUCGUGGCCGGAGGUGGUGGGCUGGCCGGCGGCGCAGGCCGUGACUCAGGUCAACACCGACAGGCCUGACGUCGCGAUCGAGGUGCUCCCGUCUGGCACCAGCGUGUCCCCGGGGUUCAGUAGCACGCGUGUUCGCGUCUUCUUCGAUGGGACUGGCAGCGUCGCGGCCACCCCACAGGUCGGUUAGGCCGGCGGCGCCAUCUUGCAGGUCGACAUUGCCCGUCGCUGAAAUAGUGGAGCUUGAUGUUAUUUUGAUUAUCUAGAAGUGGAAGAUGCAUUUGAUUUUAUCAAUGUACUCGUUAUGAAUGCAGCCCUUAGCUACUUUGAGGUUGGCGGGUAUGUACUCUUUAUGGUUGUAUCGUCUUUAUAUGAUGUUUUGAGUUAAUACAGUACCUUUUAUAAAAGAAAAGAAAUGAGGGCCUUUGUUGACGGAACUGGCAUAUUGCAAUUGUAAUGAGUUCGGGCUUGAAUAAACGCAACAAAUGUUGGUAAUUCAACACAAAAUUAUAGCCUAGUACUAUUUAUCACAUGGAUUGACAAUAUAGGUUUAUAUGGGUGAAUCCGGUGCCCGUAUUCCGGGAUUAGCCCGGCUUCAUGCUUAAUUACUUCGGUACCAAAUAAUGUGAGAUUAGUGGAGGAAAAAUUAAAAGGAUAUCAUACGGGUUGCUUGACAGGUUUGGUCACAGCUCUUUGGAGCAUAUGCAGUUACGAAGACUCAAUUUAGAGUUGUUAAGAUGUGAUGUGAUGUGCUUAUUUUACAAUAUGUUGCAGGAAAAUAGCUACAAGACUAGAGAUAAGUGUCAAAUACAGACUAAGAACGAGAGAUUUGCAUGCUUCUCCAAGCCAUUGUCGGUUGGUCGGUUGAGCAAUCAACGAUAUUGGUUUGUGUUCUGAUAGGUGUAUAUCUCACUUGACUACAUAACAUAAAAAGUAAAUUUAAACCUAAAUAUGAGAUCACAUAUAUACAUUUAAUUUCAAUUUUUAUUGGUAUUGGUAUUGGUAUUGCUACACUUUCUUAAAAAAAUUGAAUCGUUACGAAAGAAAAUGUUUUUCCUCAAAAGAGACAUUGUAAGGGAUGCAUAUUUCAAUCUAACAGAUAUGGCUUUGUAAAUAGCUUAGUUUAUCAGUUUGGUAAGUAGAAAAAGAUGCUUAAGUCUAAGAGAAUACAUUUAACAUGAAAAAUAUAAUGUGUUAUUACUGCUCUAAACUGAACCGCGUAACUGAAACUUAACUGAAAAGUUAUAGCCAUGCAUAAUGAUAUGUAUCAUCUACAUUGUGCAUUUCACAGUGCAUUUGAAAUUCACGCCGGCGAAACUAUUAACAUCAACUUUCGUUGUGCUAACCCCAACUAGAUAAGCUCAUCAAAGAGAAGAAAAAUUAUAUGUGUCAUAUGUGUGGCAUGUCGGGGCGUGUCACCGUGAAAUGCUUCCUAGUAGAUAUUUAUUCAGCAAGAAGCGUCUACUUGCAAAUAUAGUAAGUAGACGCUUCAUGUUGAAGUAAAAUAUAGGAGUAUAUACUCUAAAAAAAAUAAAGGUGCGCUUAAGUUUCUUAUUGUCGAUCAUAAUCCGGUAUGUCUUUUGUUUUUAAAUUUGAACUUUAAUGUGCACUGAGUAUGUUUGGCUUGGCUCGUUUGGGCUUAGAUAAACACAAGCAAGUGUCUCUAGCUCCAAAACACAUGAUUCUCAAAAAAAAAAGUCCAAACUACACGCACACCACGCUAGAUUAAAAAAAAGUAAACCACGCACGUUGCCAUCGAGAGCGAAUCAUUUUGGCCGCCUGACUCGGGCAAGCAUAUAUGUGCAGCUAUCGGCUAGAUUCCCACCAAAAACUAGAGAAUAUUUCCUGUACCAAAGACCAAUCCUUGCUGACUUGCUCUGCUAAGUUAGGAACUCAGGAUAAGCUUCUCCUAUAGAUCCAAACGCACAAGGGGUGCCUUCAUAGCAUUUUUCGAACAAUACAUGUGACUUGCGAGUAGACUUGGUCACAGCACACAAAUGGGGUGACAAAACCAAGGUCCCGGCAACGGCGGCAUAAGCCCGGUGCAUAUCCUCUGGCUACCCUAUAAAUAUCAUCCGCAUCAUGGGAUGCAUACACCAGACACAAUACAAGUCAAGAAGCAAAGAAGGAGAAAGAGAAGGUAGAAGAUGAGCACCGCCAAGAUGUCGUGGCCGGAGGUGGUGGGCUGGCCAGCGGCGCAGGCUGUGACUCAGGUCAACACCGACAGGCCUGACGUCGCGAUUGAGGUGCUCCCGUCCGGCACCAGUGUGGCCCCGGGGUUCAGCAGCGAGCGAGUCCGCGUCUUCUUCGACGGGACUGGCAGCGUCGCGGUCACUCCAACGGUUGGUUAGGCCGGUGCCGCCAUCUUGCGAGGUCGACGUUACCGGUUGACAGAUCGCGAAAGAGUCUUUUCAUGUUAUUUUGAUUAUUUAGAAGUGGAAGACGCGUUUGAUUUCAUGAAUGUACUCAUUAUGAUUGUAGCCCUUACCUACUUAGAGGCCGUGCUGGUGUGUACUCUUCGCGAUUGUAUGGUCUUGAUGUAAUUUUUGAGUUCAUAAUAUACCUUUAUAUCAAAGAAAAGAAAUUAAUGAGUGAAGAUCUUUAUGGACAAAGAUGUCAUAGUUGUAAUUGUAAUGGACUCCAAUGAACCCUACAAACGUUGGUAAUUCUGCACAAAAUUAUAGCCUGGUACUAUUUAUCACAUGGUUUGACCAUAUUGGUUUAUAUGGGUGAAUCCAAUACCCAGAUUUCUUGGCUUAGCCAGGCUUCAAGCUUAAGUACUUCAGCACUAAAAUGAUGUGAGUUUACUGGAGGAAAAACUAAAAUGGUGUUGUUUCGAGUCGCUUGACAGGUUUACUCACAGCUUUCCAGAGCAUAACAAAGGCUCAAUUUACAGUUGUUGUUGGAUUAUUAAUAUUGUAAUGUUGUUUUCCACAUUGUAAGGGAUAGAUAUUGUUUUGUAUAUAACGGAAUUUAUGAGUUUAAUUAGUAAAAAAAUCUGCUUAAGUUAUAUUUAAAGAAAAAAAUGUAAUGUGAUACUGCUUUUCUACAACUAAAUUGCGUAAUUGAAACUUAGCAGGAAACUUAUCGGCAUGCAUAAUCAUAAGUAUCACCUUCGUUAUCAUUUCAUGGUGCCUUUGAAAUUCACACUGGUCAAACUGUUAACAACAAUUUUCGUUGCGUUAACCCCUGACUAGACAAGUUCAUCAAAGAAAAGAAAAACUACCGGCUUAUUCGGUUCGCAGGAAUAUGAACCAUAGGAAUGAAAAAGGUAUAGGGGUGCAAAACUGAGGAUUCAAAACCGAAGGAAAACUAAAGAGCUGGACGUUCUACAACGUUGGAAGAGCAGAGCAAGCCGUUCCAUCAGGGGGUGCUCAAAGAGCAACUUUACGGGUUUUUUAUUUGGCUGCAUAGUGAAUCUCUGAGGUAAAGCAUCUGGCUGGCUAUGGAAUAAACUAUUUGGAAAGUAACUGAUCUUUCUCCGGCAUACGUGAAACAUGAGCUCCUAGUGGGUUUCCCAUUUCCUGUGGAAUCACGGGGCAGUAGCAGUAUUCCAGAGCUAGAAAACAUCGACUAGAUUACCACCAGAAGCUAGAAAACAUUUCCUGUAUCAAAUACCAAUUCUUGGUUGACUAGGCUUGGAUAGCUUCUGCUGUAGACACAAACGCGCAAGAGGUACCAACAUUUUUUUAACAAUACAUCUGGCCUGCGAGCAGACUUGGUCACAGCACACAAAGAAUGAUAAAACCAAGGUUUCGGCAACGGCAGCGUAGUCCUUGGUGCAUAUCGGAUCCCAACAAACACACUGUAAAAUUCUACAUGGGAUUGAUCUCAAAUGAGAUCAUUAUAUUAAAAAUCAAGGGAGAGAGAGAGAGAGAGCCAUCUAGCUACUGUCACGGACCCGUAGGUCCUGUGGGAGGCAGCAAGGUUGAUGAAGAGCCUCCCCAAUGGUUUCCCCUCCGGCAGAGUACCAGCGGAGGCCUUCAGAUGGGACCGCGGAAGACCAGAGGAUUGCGGCAGCGUAAGAAUUGUUUCGGGUCUCGUUCUGUGAAUUUUGAAAUAUUAGGGAAUUUAUAGGCCAGAGAUGGGGUGCGCCGUGUGAGCUUGUCGCUCCCUCGUGCAUUGAUACGUCUCCAACGUAUCUAUAAUUUAUGAAGUAUUCAUGCCAUGUUUACUAUUGUUUUAUAUGAUUUUGGUAUGAUUUGAUUAGAACUAGCCCGGACUGACGUUGUUUUCAGCAGAACUACCAUGGUGUUGUUUUUGUGCAGAAAUAAAAGUUCUCAGAAUGCGCUGAAAAUCAACGGAGAAUUUUUCUAAAAAAUAUAAAAAAUAAUGGAACAAAGAGUUACUGAAGGGGAGUCCCGUGUGCCCCACGAGGGUGGAGGGCGCGCCCACCCCCCUAGGGCGCGCCCCUGUGCCUCGUGGACUUCCCGUGGGGCCCCCUGACUUGUUCUUGACGCCAACCUCUCCUAUAAAUGCCCAAACCUUCAGAAAAUAAUAUAGAUCGGAAGUUCCGCCGCCACAAGCCUCUGUAGCCACGAGAAAUCAAUCUAGGCCCUCUCUGGCACCCUGCCAGAGGGGGCCAUCAUCACCGGAGGCCAUGGAGGAGGAUCCCGGAGGGGCCAUCAUCGCCAUGAAGGCCAAGAUCCAGAGGGAGAACCUCUCCCCAUCCAGGGGGGAGGCCAUGGAGGAGGAAGCACAAGGAAGAGAACCUCUCCUCCUCUCUCUCGGUGGCGCCGGAGUGCCAUCGGGAGGGGAAUCAUCGCCGCGGUGAUCGUCUUCAUCAACAUCACUAUCAUCAUCACCAUCCUCAUCUCUUUUACGCGGUCCACUCUCCCGCACCCCGCUGUAAUCCCUACUUGAACAUGGUGCUUUAUGCCACAUAUAAUGAUCCAAUGAUGGGUUGCCAUCCUAUGAUGUUUUGAGUAGAUAUCCUUUGUCUUUGGGUUGAUUGAUAAUCUAGUUUGGUAUGAGUUGUAUGUUUUAUUUUGGUGUUGUCCUACUGUGCCCUCCGUGUCGCGCAAGCGUGAGGGAUUCCCGCUGUAGGGUGUUGCAAUACGUUCAUGAUUCGCUUAUAGUGGGUUGCUUGAGUGACAGAAGCAUAAACCCGAGUAAGGGGGGUUGUUGCGUAUGGGAUAAAGGGGACUUGAUAUGUUAAUGCUAUGGUCGGGUUUUACCUUAAUGAUCUUUAGUAGUUGCGGAUGCUUGCUAGAGUUCCAAUCAUAAGUGCAUAUGAUCCAAGAAGAGAAAGUAUGUUAGCUUAUGUCUCUCCCUCAUAUGAAAUUGCAAUGACGACUACCGGUCUUGUUAACAAUUGCCUAGGACAAUUCCGCACACCGAUCCAUCAUUAUUCCACACUCGCUAUUUAUAAUACUUAAGUAAUAUAUUCUAACUUUAUGAUAACAGCACCUACUUUUAUAUUUUAGCUCUCCGAUACCAUGCAAAGUUAUCCUCUUCAUACCCACAACGUAGUUUUAUUUCUCGUUUCUAGUUGGAAGCAAACGUUCGAUGUAUGUAGAGUCGUAUCAGUGGCAGAUAGGACUUGAGAGAAUAUUGAUCUUACCUUUAGCUCCUUGUGGGUUCGACACUCCAUACUUAUCACUUCCACCUUUGGGAAUUGCUACGAUGAUUCCCUGCACUUGGGGAUUAUCAUGCAUCUCUGGCCUCUCCCCAAAGCUUGUAGGGUCUCUCAUAGUCCAGAAAAAAUCAUCGUAAAGUUUCAUCGUGUUUGGACUUCAUUGGUACUCCCUUCAUUUCAUAAUGUAGUGCACUCAUGUUUUUCGAGAUUUAACUUUGACCAUAAAUUUAACCAACAUGGGUGAUUGCGGCAGGAGUAUGACAGAUACCUUUGAAUUCGUAUUCGAAAGAAGUUUUCAAAGGUAGUUUUUCAGUGAAAUGAUUUGUGUAUUAUUGGUCUAAUUUAUGGUCAAAGUUGAAUCUCGAAAAGUGUGGACGCAUUACAUUAUGGAAUGGAGGGAGCAUGGUUUUUCUGUGAAACAAAGAGAACGCAAAAAAAACUGGCACUGGACACUAGGUUAAUAGGUUAGUCCCCAAAAAUGAUAUAAGAUUACAUAUAAAGUAUAUAAGAAUGAUAAUAUAAUAGCAUGAAACAAUUAAAAUUAUAUAUAUGUUGGAGACGUGUCAAACCUCACCACUCGAACAAAAGAUAAUCACAACACAUGUCAUAUAUGUAACCAAACAGCACCACUUUGCAUCUGGGUAGCAAGGGCUUGCAACCAAACACUCGUUCGUGUGUUUUUGUUCAUUCAUACUGGGGAAUGUAGAGAACCAAACUAUGUACGAAACAUGAUUUUCUGUCUUUAUCCGCUCUGUCAGGCCCAGCAACUUAACAGUGGUAGUUUGGUUGGGGUAUGUAGUUUGCCUAAGACGAUAUGAUUUCUUUAAAUGAAAUCGGAGAGGGGGCAUCUCAUUUGCCAAAAAAAAAAACAAGCCCGGCAGAGCGACAGAUGCAAGGAAGACAAAAUCCAUGCAGGUUAGGAUAGUUUUUGCUAGGAGUUUGAUGUACCAAAAGCAUCAAACUCCCUUUUAAAUCAAAAUAACAGACCAAAAGCUAGAAAACAUUUCAUGUACCAAAUACCAAUCCUUGGUUGGCUAGGCUAGGAUAGUUUUUGCUAUAGAUCCAAACGCACAAGGGGUACCUUAAUGACAUUUUUCGAACAAUACAUGUGGCCUCGCAGACUUAGUCACACCACACAAGGGGGUGACAAAACCAAGGUUCCGGCAACGGCGCCACAUGCCCGGUGCACACCAUUAUCAUCCUCUGGCUGCCCUAUAAGUACCAUCCAUAUCUAACAUAGUCACAGCACAAGUCAAGCAGCAGCGCAUCCAGCAGUCGUGUAGCUCUACCUAGCUCGUACGUACAUGCAUCCCCUCUUGCAGUCUUUGUUCUACUCUGCGUCCAUCUAAACGUUCACGACUGAACACAUUAUGCAUUUGUGCUGCCGAUUGAUCUCAGGAGCGAGGAGAAAAGGGGGAACAGAAGAUGAGCACCGCCAAGACGUCGUGGCCGGAGGUGGUGGGCUGGCCGGCGGCGCAGGCCGUGACUCAGGUCGGCACCGACAGGCCCGACGUGGCCAUCGAGGUGCUCCCGUCCGGCACCAGCGUGGCCCCUGGGUUCAACGGAGAGCGGGUCCGUGUCUUCUUCGACGGGACCGGCAGCGUCGCCGCCACUCCAUCGGUUGGUUAAGCCCGCGCCGCCAUCGCUUGCCGAUGUUAUCGGUCGAGGCCGGGUGUGUACUUUAUGAAUGGGAGCUCUUAGCUGCCUUGAGGCUGAGGCCGGGUGUGUACUUUAUGCGGUUGUAUUGCCUCGAUGUAAUGUUUUGAAUUUAAUAAAACACUCCUACCUUUUACCAAAGAAAAGAAAUGAGUGGAGACCUUCAUGCUGUAAACGUAGUGGGCUUGAAUGAACCCAACAAAUGUUGGUAGUCCAACACAGUUUUACCAUAUAGGUUCAUACAGGUGAAUCCAAUUCCGGGCUUUUCUGGCUUAGCCCUGGCUUAAUGCUUAAUUACUUUGACAUGAAAAAUGCAGGUUCACACAAACCGCGCAUUUACCAAUUUGUGCACAUUUCUUUUGAGCGAGGAGAUUUGUAGAAUUACCGGUAGUUUACCAACAGACAACCUGUAUGUUUUCUCUCAUAUGCAAAGGCGGGUUACUAUUCUUAGACACGGCUAGUACAAGUCAUUGACUACACAGGCAAGCAGAGUAAAUAGCAAAAAACUACUAGUUUACAGGCUAGGGUUCCAAAAAACUACCAACUUUUAAUUUUUCUCAAAAACCUACCAGUCGCGUGGUUCGCUGUUUCAAAAAACCCAAAACGCCCGUGACUAGCGAUUUAACCGUUUUUCUGACCGUCUGGACCCACAUGUCAUGCCAUCUGGCCACGCGCGCUCACGGCGCGGCCCGUUGACGGCCAUUAGCCCAUGCGGUCCGGUCGGAACCAAAGCCGCCGGUCGGUCGCACUCGCUCUNNNNNNNNNNNNNNNNNNNNNNNNNNNNNNNNNNNNNNNNNNNNNNNNNNNNNNNNNNNNNNNNNNNNNNNNNNNNNNNNNNNNNNNNNNNNNNNNNNNNNNNNNNNNNNNNNNNNNNNNNNNNNNNNNNNNNNNNNNNNNNNNNNNNNNNNNNNNNNNNNNNNNNNNNNNNNNNNNNNNNNNNNNNNNNNNNNNNNNNNNNNNNNNNNNNNNNNNNNNNNNNNNNNNNNNNNNNNNNNNNNNNNNNNNNNNNNNNNNNNNNNNNNNNNNNNNNNNNNNNNNNNNNNNNNNNNNNNNNNNNNNNNNNNNNNNNNNNNNNNNNNNNNNNNNNNNNNNNNNNNNNNNNNNNNNNNNNNNNNNNNNNNNNNNNNNNNNNNNGCACUGACCUAGGUUGGCGAUGGCGGCGCCGCAGCGAAAUGGCGUCGGCGGCGAGUUUUUGAGGCAAGGCGUCACCGGCGAGGAGGGCGGUGGACAUUCAGCGGUUCAGGCAUGGCUAGGCAGCUCUAGCUUCCCAGCGCAGCGGUCGCCGCGGCCAUCACCGCCCGUGGCUCAGGUGGAUCGAGAGAGCUCAGAUCUGGAAGUCCGCGCUGCUAGGGCAGUGGCCAAGUCCAUCCACGCGGAUCCAGAUGGCGGCCACAUGUGGGCUUCCGCGUUUGGUGGAGUGAAGUAAGAAAUUUCAGUAGCAGUUACAGUUUUAGUUGAGAUUUUAAAAUUAGGGUUAGAAGAUGAUAGUUUUAGGUUUAGUUAGGUGUAGAAGAUAGUGCAGUAUUGGGAAUGAGGAGUGUAAUUGUUUGUUGGCAUGCUUAUGCAUUUUAGUAAUGUUCAGUACAUUUCAUCAUUGUUUUAAGCUUCAGUUAAUUGAAAAAUAAAUGUUUUUCAAUUAAAUCUCCUACAGCUUAGAUGAAGACAUUUGGGAAAUGAGGCUGCAUUUCCAAGGAACAGAUAAUAUGGAGAGAAAGUAUUCAGUUUCUUCAGAUAUUAGUUAUCUGACCAUAUUAGCAUUGGCUGAGUUGGAGGGGUAUGGAAUGGAGGCUUUUCUGACUUAUGUAAAGGAAGAGGGAAAGGGCUUGGAGGGGGUGGAGGUCCUGGAUAGGAGGAGGCAUUAGAGAAAAUGUUUGACUUAUUUGUUGAUAAGAAGAUCCUGAACAUCACUGUCAGAAAGCCUACUGAUCCAAGCCCAGCACAUAUUAAUAUGGAUCACAGCUUGCUUGAGGAACAGAUUCCCAUUAGUAAUGUUGGUGAGGAAGUAUAGUGUUUCCCAACAAGGUGUCCUGUAUCCACUCCAGAAUGCAACUUUGGCACCAGAAAUCCCUGAGGAGCCCUAUCUUAACACACAACAUAGUUGUAAUUUGAACAAGGGGAAAAAUGUUGUGGACGAAGAAGAAGAUGUAGAAGUAGAACAUAAGGAAGAUGAAGAUGAAGAUGAAGAUGAGAUGGACCAAUCUUCUUCAGAUUUUGAGUUUUUUAGGGGUGAUUACAAAGGGCAGACAAUAUCAUACAAGGCUUGGUGUAGGGGUGAAGAUGAGGCUGGCACAGGGACAAGUCAUAAGCCUAGGGAAGAGGAAGAUACUGCAGAGCACUAUUGUGGAGCAAACUCAGAACCAUCAGAGUUUUGGAAGGAAGACCAAAUCCUUUCUGAACAUGAAGAACCCUCAGUUGUAUCAGAGAAAGGAGCAAAGAAGCUUAAGCCUGUCAGAAAACCAGGCCCAACUAUCAACUCACACAGUGAGCCUGAAAACAUCAAGUUUGAAGAUUUUGUGCCUGAACCUGAUGAAUACUGCUUUCCAGGUGAUUUUGGCCUUAGUGAUGAAGAAGAAGUUCCAAGGUUGCCUUCUGGUAGGAAGAGAAGGUUGAAGAAGAGGAAGGAGAGGAGGUGGUAUGAUCCAUCAGUCCCUGAUGCACAUGAGAAGUUUGCAUUGCAUUUGUGCUUCCUAAAUGUUGUGGAGUUCAGAGAAGCACUAAGAAAUUUCCAUGUCAGGACACUUAGGAAUUUUGAGUAUCACAGAAAUGAACCAACUAGGGUUAUUGCUUGGUGCUCUGAUAGAAAGCAAUGUUGUCAGUUUUACAUAGUGGCCUCUAGAAUAGCUAAUGAGUCAACUUUCAGCAUCAAGAAGAUGAAUUUGGAUCACACUUGUGGAGCAACUGGAGAGAGCACCAAGGUUACAGUCAAUUGGGGUGCCAAGGUGAAAGAACAUGUGGUGCCCCCAUGUUUGAUUUUGGUAAUUGAUGACAAUCUCUAUGGACUAAUGGUUGCCUUGAGUUAUAUUUGAAGGAUUUGUCCAUAGGCAUCUCUUGAAGUCCAUGUGUUGGUUUCAAGGAGUUUAUGUGGUGACCAAGGUGUUAUUAAGGAAUUAUCCAAAGAUUGGUCAUGUGAGAAUUGAGAUUUUUCCAUAGGCAUCUCUUGAAGUCCAUGUGUUGGUUGGUUUCAAGGAGUUUAUGUGGUGACCAAGGUGUUAUUAAGGAAUUAUCCAAAGAUUGGUCAUGUGAGAAUUGAGCUUAUUGCAAGCAUGUCUUGAAGAAGAAGAUUGUGUGAUCAUUCAUGUUUACCUUCAAGACAUCAUCCAAAUGAAGAGAGUUGGAAAGAGUCAAGGUUGAUCAAGACUAAGUCAAGAGUGAAUCAAGUUGAUCAACACACAAAGCGCACAAGAUGUACCGAGGGAUCAAGCGAUCCCAUGGUAUGGUAAGCAUUGUCAAUUACGCUUUGUGUACUAACCCAUGGUCUUCGUGAGAGUUCUUUGUGGGGUUUGGUUGCGGUGUGCAAGUUCAAGUGAAGUGGGCAAGUUCAAGUAAAGCAUCACGAAGAGAUCAAAUGCUUGAAGCCAUUGUGGUGACAAUAGACUUGUGAAGAUGUGCGGAAGGGUGGCUCACCCAUAGUGGAGUAUGGGGGAGCAAUCAACUAGUCUUCAUCGAGCCAACGCAAUCAAGAAAGGUGGUCCAUCUUGAGGGAGUCAAGAUCGUCAUCAUCUAGCUCAAGUGGACCAUGUGCAAGGCAAAGGUUUGCUCUUGAUAGGUUUUCUAUUUUACCGGUCUCAUGAUGGUAGUUGGGAGACCGGGUUAUAGGAUCGAUUGCCGCACUAUCAAGGGGGGUUCUCGAUGAGUAGCUUGAUCGUAUCGUUCAUAGAGAGCUCAAACCAUUGCAUCAUCUUUAUUGGUUCUUGUUUGGUUCUUCUCUUUGUGAGUUUUGGAGCUUAUGGUCAUCUUGAUGACAAGCUCGAGUUCAUCGAAAAUGGAGUUCACUCGCAUCUUCUAUGAUGUUUUCAAUGUUGGAAGGUUAUGUCGGUUCUUCUCGGUUGGAGGUUUUACUCCUCUAUUUGUUGGCAUACCUCCCCUGCCUCUUCUUACUAUAACGUUUUGAUGCUACUCGUCGUCUUGUAUCCAACAAGCUUGAGUUUGCUCAAUUCGGAGUUCAUAUGAAGAAGUUUUGGCAGUUCUGUUUUUCUCCCUGCGGUAGUACCGCGGUGGCAGCGGUAGUACCGCUCUACUACCGCCUCGAUUUUGGGUCUGCUCUUUUCGUGUCGGGUUCAGCGGUAGUCGCGCGGCAGUAAGGCACGGUAGUACCGCCUAUAAGCGGUAGUACCGCUUCGGUCGAGCGGUAGUACCGCUUCGGUCGAGCGGUAGUACCGCUACUGCAUUACUGCCACCGUACUCUGCUCUGUCCUGCCUCCUUCGGGUGAGUGGUAGUACCGCUUAUCGGCGGUACUACCGCCCCAAGGUUCUUGGUAGUACCGCUCGUGUGCGGGCUGAGCACAUAACGGUUGGAUUUUCCCCCUCCUAUAAAAGGGGGUCUUCUUCCCCAAUGAACCUUAUCCUUUGAGCUCGUGUUCUUCCCCCAUUGUUGACCUUCUUCGAGCUUGCUAACUCUCAAUCCCUCCAUGGAUUCUUGCUAGUUUUUGAGGGAAAAGAGAGAGGAGAUCUAGAUCCACAUUUCCACCAAUCACUUUCUCCUCUAUGUGAGGGGAACCCCUUGGAUCUAGAUCUUGGAGUUCUUGGUGUUCUCCUUCUUGUUCUUCCUCUCAUUUUCCUCCCUAGCAUUAGUUGCUUCGGUGGGAUUUGAGAGAGAAGGACUUGGGCACUCAGUGUGCCCUUGCCAUUGCAUUUGGUGCAUCGGUUUGAGUUCUCCACGGUGAUACGUGGAAGUUACAAGUUGAGAAGCUUAUUACUCUUGGGUGCUUGGUACCCUUGAGCUUGUUCCUCUUGGGUGCUUGGGCGCCCUAGAUGGUUGGUGGUGUUCGGAGUUCAAUCAUUGUGGUGUAAAGCUCCGGGCAAGCGUCGGGGUCUCCAAUUAGGUUGUGGAGAUCGCCCCGAGCAAAGUGUACGGGUUCGGUGACCGCCCCCAAGGGUUGCCAUUUGUACGGGUUCGGUGACCGCCCUCAAGGGUCCCUUAGUGGAAUCACGGCAUCUUGCAUUAUGCGAGGGUGUGAGGAGAUUACGGUGGCCCUAGUGGCUUCUUGGGGAGCAUUGUGCCUCCACAGCGCUCCAAACGGAGAUUAGCAUCCGCAAGGGUGUGAACUUCGGGAUACAUCGUCGUCUCCGCGUGCCUCGGUUAUCUCUUACCCGAGCCCUUUACUUAUGCAUUUUACUUUGUGAUAGCCAUAUUGUUUCUUGUCAUAUAUCUUGCUAUCACCUAAGUAGUUUUUCUUGCUUAGCAUAAGUUGUUGGUGCACAUAGGUGAGCCUAGUUGUUGUAGGUUUUGUGCUUGACAAAUUAACCGCUAGGUUUAUUCCGCAUUUGUUCAAGCCUCAACCAUGAUUAUUUUAAAGAGCCUAUUCACCCCCCCCCCUCUAGGCGACAUCCACGAUCUUUCACAAGGUUUGUGAGGAUACCAUUAGAUCAAACCCUAGAGGUGGUGUUGAGAUAAUUCUGUCAUACACAAAGAAAACAUUUGGUGUUCAUGUGCCUAAAAGCUUGGCAUAUAGGGCAAGGAAGCAAGCACUUGAAGUUGUGCAAGGAGAUCACAAACUCCAAUAUCACAGACUAAGGGACUAUCUCCAGUGUGUGCUAGAUACUAAUCCAGGCAGUAGAUGCAUAGUGACAACAAAAGAGGACCUAGAAAAUCCAGCUCCUACCCCCAGGUUUCACUACAUGUUCUACUGUCUUUUUGCAUGCAAAGAGGGCUUUCUAAAUGGAUGCAGGCCAUUCAUAGGUACAUGAUCCUUACACAUAUAUCUAAGAUGGUUGCAUUCAUGUUAUUUACAACUAAUGUGAUCAUAUUUUCAAGUUUAGAUGGUUGCUUCAUCAAGCUCAGCACUAGACAACAAAUAUUGGCAGCUACUGGCAGGGAUGGGAACAACAACAUCUUCCCCAUUGCAUUUGGUGUUGUUGACAAGGAAGAGACAGACAGCUGGACAUGGUUUCUCACACAACUUAGAACUGUUAUUGGGAGUGGGAACAAGUUUGGCAAGUACACAAUUAUGUCUGACAGACAAAAGGUAUGUGCUCCACUUCUCUUGACCACCACACUUUAAACUUACCAUCAUACUUAGCCAUCAUUCUAAGCCAUCAUAAUUAACAGGGAUUGUUGAAUGCAAUCAAUGAUGUAUUCCCUGACUCCCCACAAAGGUUUUGUCUUAGACAUAUAUAUGCCAACUUCCAAUCUGCUGGUUUUAGAGGGGAGGAACUCAAGAAACACUUAGAUCAAGCUGCCUAUUCCUUCACUAAGAAUGGUCAUGAAGAAGGGAUGGAAAAUUUGAAGAAAGAAAGUUUUGAAGCUUGGCAGUGGUUGUCACAGAUACCAGACCAUACAUGGGCUAGAUAUAAAAUGGAUACUGUUUGCAAAACUGACCUGGUUGUUAACAACCUUCGUGAAGUUUUCAACAGGAUGAUAUUGGAUGUUAGGAACAAGCCAAUCAGGACUAUGCUGGAGGGCAUAAGAACAAAGUUGAUGAUCAAGUUUCAGAAAAUCAGAGAGAAAACAGAGUCAUGCAGAUGGGAAAUCACACCAACAUACUCAGAAAUUUUAGAAGAAGCCAAGAAGUGGGCUAAGUAUUGUGAUGCAUACAUGGCAGGUCCAGGGAUCUGGCAAGUGACUAGUAGCUCUGAGAACACAUAUUGUGUUAACUUGAACAACCAUACCUGUGACUGUAGGAGGUGGGACAUGACAGCUGUGCCUUGCAGUCAUUCCAUUGUUGCAAUGCAAAAAGUGAAGCUACAUCCUGAAGACUUUGUCAAUGCUUUCUUCAAAAAGCCCAUGUACUGUGAAACAUACGAGCAUAUAAUUUUCCCAGUUCCAGGUCCUGACCACUGGCCUCAUACACCUGGAGAUGACAUAUCUCCACCAGUGUUCAAAGAAAAGAAGGGCAAAAAGCAAACUGCCAGAAGGAAAGGUGUAUUUGAGGUGCCAGCAAAAAAGGACACCUCAAGAAUUGGUACUGUCACAUGUAGCAAUUGCAAGAAGCAGGGUCAUAGGUUCAACAAUUGUGGUGACCCUUUGAAGCCUAAGUUUCAGAUGAGGAUGAACAAGCACCAGGUCAUUUGAGGCCAUGUUUCAUUUCAGAUUAUUGUCUCAUUUCAUUGUUAAAUUUCUUACAAUGUUUCUUAAUUGUGUAGGAAAAUAGAGCAAAUUACUCUCAAGCUGGUUCUUCUAUGGCUACAAAUGCUCAGAGGCCUCCAAGAGUACAUGUUGCUACUGCACCUGAACCAAGACCAGCUACAGCAAGAGCUACAACUUCUGCACCUUCACCAGCUCCAGUUGCUACUUCUAGGGGGAAAAAGGGCUGCUUCAACUAUUACAGCAGCAAUUGCACAAGGAGCACCAGCUAAGAGGAGCAGGCCUAAAACUUCUUCUGCUGCUAACACUUCUUCUCCUGCUAAGAACACCACAUCAUCUACAGCUUCUCCUGCUAAGAACACCAGAUCUUCAAGUGCCCAGAGAAGAACUUUCAUUGCACCAAGGCAAUCAAAUUCAACUGUUGUCCAGGAGGGGUCAAAGAGGAUCAGGAAGCCAAGUGGGAGGCUGAAAGACUAUUUUUAUGCAAGUGGUAACUAGCUCUUGGAUUUGGGUAACUUGAGUUCAUUUGGUACGGUUCUGUUUGUGUCAGUGAACAAAUAUGGAUGGAUUUGGGUCUACUAUGGUCUGUAAUGACUAUACUUUAUUUUGUUUCGGAGAUAUUCAGUCAGUUGACCUACCAUGGUUUGUAAUAACUACUAUGCAGUGUGUUCAUUUAGACAGUCAUUCCUGUGUUGAUUCAGUCGGUACAUUUCAGUCAGUGUAUCUUCUGUCAGUUAAUUCAGUCAGUACAUUUCAUAUCCACUGCAUAAUUUCAUUGAGAGUAGCAUAAAUACAUAGAUACAUUGGUUCAGAGCAGCAUCAAACACCAGUUAUUACAUAGAAUAGAGUAGAUCUUACAUAGUACACCAGAUCUUACAUAGAACACCAACAUAGAAAGAUAGAUAGAUAGGUAUAUAGAUGGAUGGGAUGAGAUUGACAUAUCAGUCAUAGCGCUCGAAGAAAUGGACCCACUUGGCCCUAGUUGCUGGAUGAGGAGCCAUGACUGCCCUCAUCCUUGCCCACCUAAUGAUCUCCAUGAAUGACCUUCCCUUGCCACCAGUGAAAACCAGCUCUAGUUCUUCAUCAUUGCACUUCUCCAGUACCUUGUCGGAGAGUCGGCGGUUGAACUCCUCUUGCUGCUCAUCCUGGGCCGCCUCUAGUGCCCUCUGCCUACGCCUCCUCCUCCUCCUCUGUGCUGCUGCUGCUGUCCUAACCUCCACAGCCUCCCCCUCUUCCUCUGUGACAUCUCCCAUGUCAGGAUCCAUCUGUAGGGUUUCUUUUGGGUGGCGGCUGGUGGAGUCACUGGGAAAGGGUGGGGGUGGGGAGGGGUUUAUAUUGACAGAUGGAUGGGGUUGGGUUUAGUAGUCCUAGGGUUGCAUUUGGUCAGAGACUAGUGGGCCACUAAGCCCAAUUACCCACAGAAAUAAUAUAUGUAGGCUAACAAAUAACAUAUAAAAGAUAUAAGAUCAAGUUGAACACUUAAUAGCAUACAAGAUCCAUUUCCACAACUUAGUAGCAUAAGAGAUCCAUUUCCACAAUUUAAUAGCAUAGGAUAUCCAUUACAACACUUAAUAGCAUAGGUGAUCCAUUACUACUUAACAACAUAGGAAAUAAGGUUCUUACACUAGGUUAAACUUCACAUUCCCCCAAAAUGUACACCCAUAAUCACUUGCAGUCAUGCCAGGCCACAUCCUUAUAUAAAGGCCUUUGGAUGUACUUACUUCACCAACAUAUCACAGCAAGUUCAAGACUCAAGGAUGGCCUUGAUUUGCUCUAACUUCUCCUUGCUGCCAUACCCUUCUUUCAGCAGCUCAGCAACAACAAGCUCAAGUUUUGCCUUCUCCUUCUUAAGAACAUCUCUGUCAACUUCAACAUCCUUCAUAGCCUUCCUGGUGUUCUUGAUGAUAUCAGCUUAGCUCUGCAAAAUGCACCUCUGCUCUUUUACAAGUUUGAGCUUUUCCAUCUGCACCUCCAACAUAGCUUUCUCCUCUAGCUCCUUCUUCUUCUUCUCAAGUUCUUCCUCCUCCACUUGUUUCUGGUACACCUGCUUGUCCAUCCUACAAUCCUGCCAAUCAAACAUCUUGGAUACAUCAUCAACAAGCUUGGUGUACUCAAUGCAAAGCUUGUCAUUUUCAGUCCUAAGCUUGGCCAACUCCCUUUCAUGUUCACUCUUAAGCCUGGCCUACUCCUUCUCAAACUUCUCCUUGUCCUGUACCCUUCCAAAGUUCUGCUCAUGGAACAUCUCCCAUAGCUUGCACAAACAUCUCUGAAGAACAGUUGGCCAAGGCCCAUCAACCCACUCUACAACACCACAAUUCACACCAUUUUCCUGCAUUUAUAAAUGUGAUAAGUUAUUACAAAUGGACUAGGAGCUUAUUUCAAUUCCAUGAUUAACUUGUAUAGACUUGAUAUUUUCUAACAAUGCAUAACAUAAAUGAGAUAUGAUAAGUUAUUACAAUGCCAUGAUUAAGUUUCCAAAGUAACAAAAAUACAUAUGUGACUGUCAUAUCAAACAAAGUGUUGCAUCAUAUCAAACAUCAGUGAACAUACAUAGCAGAAAAGUUUAUUGGCAUCUAACCUGGACUGGGCAGCCAUAGAAACGCCUUCCUGUUACAGGCCCUUCAAAAGCAACACGCUUAAUAGGCCUCAUUUGGUGCAGAAUGCACUUAGGAUGAGCAAGCUCAAGUUGGCCACAGAAAAGGGGCUCCACAGUGGUGUCUGGUUCCUCCUGCAACCAAAAUAACCAACAAACACUAGUUUCAAUCUCCACUCAACACCAGAAUCAACUUGCACGAUUCAUUAAACAUGAACACUAAAAAAAUCCCCAACUCAGCAUGAACCCUAACACUGUACAGAGAUGAACCCUAGCUUACAUCAAUCCUACAAUCAAACCCCAACCUCACUUUUGAACAAGAAUCCUACAACAGCAACACUACACUUAGCAAGAUCCAUGGCGGUAGCCUCGGCCUACUAGCACCUAACCCUAACCCUAGGUGGCAAAGAACUUACCAUAAGUCCGAUGUCCAUGCUGACGACCUCGCACUCCUCCUCCGAGCUCGUUUCCUCGUCGUUUCAGGAAGGCAUGGCGGCAAGGAGGUCGACGGUGACCGACCUCAAAGACGGCGAGCGGCGGCGAGCUCGCACUGGAGCAGGGGAGUGGGAGCAGGGGAGUGAGCGAGCAACGAGUGGGAGCAGGGUGGCGUAUUUACCCUGGUUCCGACAGGACCGGACCGCACGGUCUAACGGCCGUCAACGGCCGUGCCGUGAGCGCGCGUGGCCAGGUGGCCUGACAUGUGGGUCCAGACGGUCAGAAAAACGGUUAAAUCGCUAGUCACGGGCGUUUUGGGUUUUUUGAAACAGCGAACCACGCGACUGGUAGGUUUUUGAGAAAAAUUAAAAGUUGGUAGUUUUUUGAAACCCUAACCUGUAAACUGGUAGUUUUUUGCUAUUUACUCCAGCCAAGCACCGUAUACUGAAUUCGCAGAGUUUCGAAAUUGGUGAAUAUGAUUCUAGAGAUAUGCAUAAUUUGAGUAAGUGGUUUUGAAAAUCAACCAGAAUGCAAGGAGAGACUAAGUCCAAGUAUAUUCAGACAAGAUUACAGUUAUCUUUGGUGCAAAUCUGUUAAGAGUUAUCUUUGAGUAGGUUAUUCCCUUAUUUUUAUUCUUCAGAAUAUAAUAUAAAGAUAUUGGAGAGAAGGAAUCAGGUUUCCGGGCUGGAUGAAGGGAAAUUUAAACGGGAAAAUGUCAAAUCGGAACUGUAAGACACUUGAUUCUGGGAGAAAAGACAAUUCGCAAAAUUUGAUUUUCUGCCAAUUUGGAGCCCAAACAAUCGAGCUGUGGCACCAAUCUGAAAAUCCUGUUUACUGCAAGAGAACCAACAAACUGGAUCAUUGUCGAUAGCUAGACUGACGGCAAGAAACAGAGAAGCAGAGCAAGAUCUCUACAAGUUCAGCCACGUAAUCUGCAGAUAUUUACAGAUGACCAUAUUUAUCAUUACAACAGGUCGCACAUCAAACAAUACAACGAGAAAUCCUGUGGAUGUAAAGGAACACACAUAGAAAUGAAUCAGAUAAUAUCAUAAUAGCACGGUUCGCACAGCGAGCGCCAAAAUCUUUAACAGUAUGACCACAAUAAUCGAUGCUUCCUGAAUUAAAUUGCGAACAUACACACGUACGAAUCAGACUGAAGCAGCAACGAUAGCAUUUCUUCAGAUAUUUCCGACGGAAUAACAGUGCUGAACAGUGUUACUUCAGAUCCAAUUAACAGUGCUGAGUGCGCAAUUUCUUACAGGAUGACAGUCGGAACAUAAUCUAACUACAGGGUAACAUCAAUUCAUCACACCACGAGGAACCAGGAAAGAGGGGGACUCGCAGAGAAGAAGGCAGGAGCCUAGGAGGAGGUGAACUUGGUGACGGCCUUGGUGCCCUCUGACACGGCGUGCUUGGCGAGCUCGCCGGGCAGGACGAGGCGGACGGAGGUCUGGAUCUCCCGGGACGUGAUGGUGGGCUUCUUGUUGUAGCGCGCCAGCUUGGCGGCCUCGCCGGCGAGCUUCUCGAAGAUGUCGUUGAUGAAGGAGUUCAUGAUGGACAUGGCCUUGGAGGA
Molecule: long non-coding RNA, 22254 nt
Filed under: Triticum aestivum (bread wheat)
Lineage: Eukaryota; Viridiplantae; Streptophyta; Magnoliopsida; Poales; Poaceae
Description: long non-coding RNA (TAES_LNC028498)
Source: RNAcentral